RNAcentral lists this ribosomal RNA (590 nucleotides) under uncultured bacterium. RNAcentral's name for it is "partial 16S ribosomal RNA". It matches the Rfam family "Bacterial small subunit ribosomal RNA", at positions 355 to 941 of the family's 1533-position model. The record is from RNAcentral.
UGGGGAAUCUUCCGCAAUGGACGAAAGUCUGACGGAGCAACGCCGCGUGAGUGAAGAAGGUUUUCGGAUCGUAAAACUCUGUCUUUUGGGGCGAACGUGAGUAUGGUGAACAAUCAUAGUCAGUGACGGUACCAAAGGAGGAAGCCACGGCUAACUACGUGCCAGCAGCCGCGGUAAUACGUAGGUGGCAAGCGUUGUCCGGAAUUAUUGGGCGUAAAGAGCGCGUAGGCGGGAUAGUCAGUCUGUUGUAAAAGUGCGGGGCUCAACCCCGUGAUGGCAAUGGAAACAGCUAUUCUUGAGUGCAGGAGAGGAAAGUGGAAUUCCCAGUGUAGCCGUGAAAUGCGUAGAUAUUGGGAGGAACACCAGUGGCGAAGGCGACUUUCUGGACUGUGUCUGACGCUGAGGCGCGAAAGCCAGGGGAGCGAACGGGAUUAGAUACCCCGGUAGUCCUGGCCGUAAACGAUGGGUACUAGGUGUGGGGGGUAUCGACCCCUUCCGUGCCGGAGUUAACGCAAUAAGUACCCCGCCUGGGGAGUACGGUCGCAAGACUGAAACUUAAAUGAAUUGACGGGGGUCAUAGCUGUUUCCUG